RNAcentral lists this ribosomal RNA (253 nucleotides) under uncultured bacterium. RNAcentral describes it as "partial 16S ribosomal RNA". It matches the Rfam family "Bacterial small subunit ribosomal RNA", at positions 524 to 776 of the family's 1533-position model. The record is from RNAcentral.
UACGAAGGGGGCUAGCGUUGCUCGGAAUCACUGGGCUUAAAGGGCGCGUAGGCGGGUCGGCAAGUCCGGGGUGAAAGCCCCCAGCUCAACUGGGGAAGUGCCUUUGAUACUGACGAUCUCGAGGGAGGUAGGGGCGUGCGGAACUUCCGGUGGAGCGGUGAAAUGCGUAGAUAUCGGAAGGAACGCCGGUGGCGAAAGCGGCGCGCUGGACCUCUUCUGACGCUGAGGCGCGAAAGCCAGGGGAGCAAACGGG